RNAcentral lists this ribosomal RNA (1371 nucleotides) under uncultured bacterium. RNAcentral's name for it is "bacterial SSU rRNA". It matches the Rfam family "Bacterial small subunit ribosomal RNA". The record is from RNAcentral.
GAGUUUGAUCCUGGCUCAGGACGAACGCUGGCGGCGCGCCUAACACACGCAAGUCGAACGGAGCUGAGAGGAGCUUGCUUUUCUUAGCUUAGUGGCGAACGGGUGAGUAACGCGUGAGUAACCUGCCCUGGAGUGGGGGACAACAGUUGGAAACGACUGCUAAUACCGCAUAAGCCCACGGCCCGGCAUCGGGCUGCGGGAAAAGGAUUUAUUCGCUUCAGGAUGGACUCGCGUCCAAUUAGCUAGUUGGUGAGGUAACGGCCCACCAAGGCGACGAUUGGUAGCCGGACUGAGAGGUUGAACGGCCACAUUGGGACUGAGACACGGUCCAGACUCCUACGGGAGGCAGCAGUGGGGGAUAUUGCACAAUGGGGGAAACCCUGAUGCAGCGACGCCGCGUGGAGGAAGAAGGUUUUCGGAUUGUAAACUCCUGUCGUUAGGGACGAUAAUGACGGUACCUAACAAGAAAGCACCGGCUAACUACGUGCCAGCAGCCGCGGUAAAACGUAGGGUGCAAGCGUUGUCCGGAAUUACUGGGUGUAAAGGAGCGCAGGCGGACCGGCAAGUUGGAAGUGAAAACCAUGGGCUCAACCCAUGAAUUGCUUUCAAAACUGCUGGCCUUGAGUAGUGUAGAGGUAGGUGGUAUUCCCGGUGUAGCGGCGGAAUGCGUAGAUAUCGGGAGGAACACCAGUGGCGAAGGCGACCUACUGGGCACCAACUGACGCUGAGGCUCGAAAGCAUGGGUAGCAAACAGGAUUAGAUACCCUGGUAGUCCAUGCCGUAAACGAUGAUUACUAGGUGUUGGAGGAUUGACCCCUUCAGUGCCGCAGUUAACACAAUAAGUAAUCCACCUGGGGAGUACGACCGCAAGGUUGAAACUCAAAGGAAUUGACGGGGGCCCGCACAAGCAGUGGAGUAUGUGGUUUAAUUCGAAGCAACGCGAAGAACCUUACCAGGUCUUGACAUCCGAUGCAUAGCUUAGAGAUAAGUGAAGUCCUUCGGGACAUCGAGACAGGUGGUGCAUGGUUGUCGUCAGCUCGUGUCGUGAGAUGUUGGGUUAAGUCCCGCAACGAGCGCAACCCUUAUUGCCAGUUACUACGCAAGAGGACUCUGGCGAGACUGCCGUUGACAAAACGGAGGAAGGUGGGGAUGACGUCAAAUCAUCAUGCCCUUUAUGACCUGGGCUACACACGUACUACAAUGGCGUUUAACAAAGAGAAGCAAGACCGCGAGGUGGAGCAAAACUCAAAAACAACGUCUCAGUUCAGAUUGCAGGCUGCAACUCGCCUGCAUGAAGUCGGAAUUGCUAGUAAUCGCGGAUCAGCAUGCCGCGGUGAAUACGUUCCCGGGACCUUGUACACGCCGCCCGUC